UUGAACCUGAGAGUUUGAUCCUGGCUCAGAACGAACGCUGGCGGCAUGCCUAACACAUGCAAGUCGAACGAAGGCUUCGGCCUUAGUGGCGCACGGGUGAGUAACACGUGGGAACCUGCCUUUCGGUUCGGGAUAACGUCUGGAAACGGACGCUAACACCGGAUACGUCCCCCAGAGAGAUUUGGGCGGAGAAAGUUUACGCCGAGAGAGGGGCCCGCGUCCGAUUAGGUAGUUGGUGGGGUAAUGGCCCACCAAGCCGACGAUCGGUAGCUGGUCUGAGAGGAUGAUCAGCCACACUGG
Molecule: ribosomal RNA, 300 nt
Filed under: Azospirillum brasilense
Lineage: Bacteria; Pseudomonadati; Pseudomonadota; Alphaproteobacteria; Rhodospirillales; Azospirillaceae
Description: partial 16S ribosomal RNA
Rfam family: Bacterial small subunit ribosomal RNA
Source: RNAcentral